GAUGAACGCUGGCGGCGUGCCUAAUACAUGCAAGUCGAGCGAACAGAUGAGGAGCUUGCUCCUCUGACGUUAGCGGCGGACGGGUGAGUAACACGUGGAUAACCUACCUAUAAGACUGGGAUAACUUCGGGAAACCGGAGCUAAUACCGGAUAAUAUAUUGAACCGCAUGGUUCAAUAGUGAAAGACGGUUUUGCUGUCACUUAUAGAUGGAUCCGCGCCGCAUUAGCUAGUUGGUAAGGUAACGGCUUACCAAGGCGACGAUGCGUAGCCGACCUGAGAGGGUGAUCGGCCACACUGGAACUGAGACACGGUCCAGACUCCUACGGGAGGCAGCAGUAGGGAAACUUCCGCAAUGGGCGAAAGCUUGACGGAGCAACGCCGCGUGAGUGAUGAAGGUCUUCGGAUCGUAAAACUCUGUUAUUAGGGAAGAACAAAUGUGUAAGUAACUAUGCACGUCUUGACGGUACCUAAUCAGAAAGCCACGGCUAACUACGUG
Molecule: ribosomal RNA, 497 nt
Filed under: uncultured bacterium
Lineage: Bacteria
Description: partial 16S ribosomal RNA
Rfam family: Bacterial small subunit ribosomal RNA
Source: RNAcentral